AAGCAGCCACACAUUCAAAGAGUGCGUAAUAGCUCACUAGUCGAGAGGUCCUGCGCCGAAAAUGUCCGGGGCUGAAACACAACACCGAAGCUUGGGAAUGUCGUAAGACAUUGGUAGAGGAGCAUUCUCAGGACGGAGAAGCGGUACCGGUAAGGAGCCGUGGAGUGCUGAGAAGAGAGAAUGCCGGAAUGAGUAGCGAGAUGGAGGUGGGAAUCCUCCAGGCCGAAUAUCCAAGGUUUCCAGAGUAAAGCUGAUCUGCUCUGGGUAAGUCGGGGCCUAAGGCGAGGCUGA
RNAcentral lists this ribosomal RNA (291 nucleotides) under Clostridioides difficile. Its description in RNAcentral is "partial 23S ribosomal RNA". It matches the Rfam family "Bacterial large subunit ribosomal RNA", at positions 1110 to 1405 of the family's 2925-position model. The record is from RNAcentral. Lineage: Bacteria; Bacillati; Bacillota; Clostridia; Peptostreptococcales; Peptostreptococcaceae.